GCACCCUGAUCAGCCAUGCCGCGUGAGUGAUGAAGGCCUUAGGGUCGUAAAGCUCUUUCGCCUGUGAAGAUAAUGACUGUAGCAGGUAAAGAAACCCCGGCUAACUCCGUGCCAGCAGCCGCGGUAAUACGGAGGGGGUUAGCGUUGUUCGGAAUUACUGGGCGUAAAGCGCGCGUAGGCGGACUGGAAAGUUGGGGGUGAAAUCCCAGGGCUCAACCCUGGAACUGCCUCCAAAACUAUCAGUCUAGAGUUCGAGAGAGGUGAGUGGAAUUCCGAGUGUAGAGGUGAAAUUCGUAGAUAUUCGGAGGAACACCAGUGGCGAAGGCGGCUCACUGGCUCGAUACUGACGCUGAGGUGCGAAAGUGUGGGGAGCAAACAGGAUUAGAUACCCUGGUAGUCCACACCGUAAACGAUGAAUGCCAGUCGUCGGGUAGCAUGCUAUUCGGUGACACACCUAACGGAUUAAGCAUUCCGCCUGGGGAGUACGGUCGCAAGAUUAAAACUCAAA
RNAcentral lists this ribosomal RNA (508 nucleotides) under Ruegeria sp. Its description in RNAcentral is "bacterial SSU rRNA". It matches the Rfam family "Bacterial small subunit ribosomal RNA", at positions 378 to 905 of the family's 1533-position model. Lineage: Bacteria; Pseudomonadati; Pseudomonadota; Alphaproteobacteria; Rhodobacterales; Roseobacteraceae. The record is from RNAcentral.